GACCAAUCCGGCCUGUCAAUCAAACCUAACGGAUUGACCAAUCAGAGCGCGCCAUUUCCACCAAGCGACAUCCGCCAUUUUGUCGGGCAAGAACUUGGGUAACGGGGCCAUUUUACAUAGGUUUCAAUGGGGAAAGUCUGUUGUUUCGGGACUUGCAAUUCAGAUUGGUGUCUGGAGUCAGUUUUUACCCUUUUCCGAAGCCAAAGACCCGCAUGGAUGCAUGCAUGAGAUGGAUUAAGGCCUGUGGUCGUCCACAUUCGCAACUCAACGUAACGAAGAUCACGAAGGACACAAUACGUAUGAUCAAAGCACUUCAAAGAUGGGAGACCAACGACACGGUUUCCAGACCCGCAGCCAGCGGAUGGCACCGACGCCGCGCCAGUCAGGACGCCAAUGAAACGUCAUGUACAGCAGAAUGAGUGUAUAGCAAAAAGCAGUCAGUGACAAAAGUUUUUAUAAACUGGAAUGAAAUCAACAGCUACAACACAAGACAAUCACAUCUCCUACACAAACUAAACCACACUUCAAGAGCAGGUCAGCGCACGUUUGUUUUUGGAGAUACAUGUACUACAAUAUACAACUCAGUAAAUCCUGACUUAAAACUAGCACCCACACCGAAAACAGUCAAUCAGGCCUUAACCCCAAAAGACCUAUGAAAUGACUGGAUUAUGAUAAUGAUUUGUUAUGACUUAACUUCAUUUGAGUUAUGAUUCAUUUUGCCUUUUGUUUGCUAAUAUUACCUUCUGUUAUUUUGUCCAUAGAUUGACUAUAUUAUAUAUCUGUUAUUAUGAUGGGUUGUUAUUAUGUAAGUUCUUUUGAGUACUUUGUUCCAUUAUUUGUAACUUAUACAUGCAUUGGACUCGUGUUUGUUGUCUGUGGUUAAGCAUUUUCUUUUGUACAUUGUUUUAUAUAUUUUAUUCUGUAACUGGGCUAUCAUGAAAAUCAGUUUUACAAACCAAAUGAUCACCCAAAAGAUCAGUGAAUAAAUAAAUAUUUGGCUACUACCACAGUACCUAGAUUGCCAUGUGAUUUUAAGUUCACUGCAAACACAGUAUGUACAGCUAUGAGGUAUGUGUACAGUUUGAAAUAUUUGCCGUCAUGUUAUGUUCACAGAGGAAAAGUAAAAGCAAACUUGUGAACUUAAAAAUACAGUGACGAAUUCAGGAAAUACAUGUACAGUACUUAUACAACACUAGUUAUAGUCAGUCAACAUCAUAAUUAUUUGCUAUGAAUGUCCAUUAGUCUACUGUUUGACAACAUUAAUUAGUAUCAUGUGUUUUUUUAUCCA
Branchiostoma floridae (Florida lancelet) is the source of this 1288-nucleotide long non-coding RNA. RefSeq lists it as uncharacterized. The record is from RefSeq and is a predicted model, not a curated record. NCBI's taxonomy places the organism in Eukaryota, Metazoa, Chordata, Leptocardii, Amphioxiformes, Branchiostomatidae. The transcript is spliced from 3 exons.